RNAcentral lists this ribosomal RNA (253 nucleotides) under uncultured bacterium. RNAcentral's name for it is "partial 16S ribosomal RNA". It matches the Rfam family "Bacterial small subunit ribosomal RNA", at positions 524 to 776 of the family's 1533-position model. The record is from RNAcentral.
UACGAAGGGGGCUAGCGUUGCUCGGAAUUACUGGGCGUAAAGCGCACGUAGGCGGUCUUUUAAGUCGGGGGUGAAAUCCUGGAGCUCAACUCCAGAACUGCCUUCGAUACUGGAAGACUUGAGUCCGGGAGAGGUGAGUGGAACUGCGAGUGUAGAGGUGAAAUUCGUAGAUAUUCGCAAGAACACCAGCGGCGAAGGCGGCUCACUGGCCCGGUACUGACGCUGAGGUGCGAAAGCGUGGGGAGCAAACAGG